RNAcentral lists this ribosomal RNA (478 nucleotides) under uncultured bacterium. RNAcentral's name for it is "partial 16S ribosomal RNA". It matches the Rfam family "Bacterial small subunit ribosomal RNA", at positions 28 to 523 of the family's 1533-position model. The record is from RNAcentral.
GACGAACGCUGGCGGCGUGCUUAACACAUGCAAGUCGAACGGUAAGGCCCUUCGGGGUACACGAGUGGCGAACAGGUGAGUAACACGUGGGUGAUCUGCCCUGCACUUCGGGAUAAGCCUGGGAAACUGGGUCUAAUACCGGAUAGGACUCCUGGCUUCAUGGUUGGGGGUGGAAAGCUUUUGCGGUGUGGGAUGGGCCCGCGGCCUAUCAGCUUGUUGGUGGGGUAAUGGCCUACCAAGGCGACGACGGGUAGCCGGCCUGGGAGGGUGACCGGUCAAGCUGGAACUGAGAUACGGCCCAGACUACUACGGGAGGCAGGGGUGGGGAAUGUUGCACAAUGGGCGCAAGCCUGAUGCAGCGACGCCGCGUGAGGGAUGACGGCCUUCGGGUUGUAAACCUCUUUCAGCUAUGACGAAGCGCAAGUGACGGUAGUAGCAGAAGAAGGACCGGCCAACUACGUGCCAGCCGCCGCCGUAA